Molecule: ribosomal RNA, 356 nt
Filed under: uncultured soil bacterium
Lineage: Bacteria
Description: bacterial SSU rRNA
Rfam family: Bacterial small subunit ribosomal RNA
Source: RNAcentral
AGAACGAACGCUGGCGGCAUGCCUAAUACAUGCAAGUCGAACGAACUCUUCGGAGUUAGUGGCGCACGGGUGCGUAACGCGUGGGAAUCUGCCCUUGGGUUCGGAAUAACAGUUGGAAACGACCGCUAAUACCGGAUGAUGACGAAAGUCCAAAGAUUAUCGCCCAGGGAUGAGCCCGCAUAGGAUUAGCUAGUUGGUGAGGUAAAGGCUCACCAAGGCGACGAUCCUUAGCUGGUCUGAGAGGAUGAUCGAGCCACACUGGGACUGAGACACGGCCCAGACUCCGUACGGGAGCAGCAGGUAGGAAUGUAGGACUAAGUGGGACAAGCCUGAGUCCAAGCAAAUCGGCCGUCGGU